Callorhinus ursinus (northern fur seal) is the source of this 544-nucleotide non-coding RNA. The record is from RefSeq and is a predicted model, not a curated record. Lineage: Eukaryota; Metazoa; Chordata; Mammalia; Carnivora; Otariidae.
AAUACAUUUUUAGAAUGUUACUUUCGUAAAAGGAUACUCUCACGUGGUAAGGAUGGCCUUAUAGGACCAUCUUAGAGCCAAAGAUGAAAGAAAAGGAAUCCUCCCUGCUUGAUAAUAAUGUGUUUUAAUGUGUAGCCUUCAAUUCACUAAUUCAAAAAUCAUACAUUUCGAAGACACCAAGAGACUCUUCAGCUCCCACUCAGGCUGAUGGUUGCUACUGACUCCCCACUCGUCCCAUGAAAUCUUCCAGGGCUGAUUAGGAUCUGUAAGAUACGGAUGUAGAGACACAGAGAGGUAAUGACAUUUACUGUAUACUAUUGGAUAGUGCAUCCCUGACUUGAAGACCUAGACUCCUGAGCACUCAUCAAUGGCUCCAAGGUGGCAAAGCUGUGCUUCCACCAUUAGAGCAAGCUCAAGCUAGCAUACUGAAGAGACCUGCCAAGAUCAGCAAAGCUGACUACAGAUGGACAAGCAAACCCAGCUGAGAACAGAGCAUUGCCUGGCCACCCUGUGGAUUCUCCCUCAUUUUUCUUUCUCUCCCUCC